AACGCAUAUUGCACUCUCUGGUAUUCCGGAGAGUACACCUGUUCGAGCGCCAUAUCAAACCUCAAGUUCAACUUGGUGUUGGAAGAAAUCGUCUUCGAUUCUUCCGAAACUGAUAGGCGUCACCCAGGUAGUUUCGAGUGUAGCGAACUCACGUACGCACUUGGAAUGAUGGGGAGAUAUGUCUUGAAAAAGGAGUGAAUCCUUCUACUUUCAAGUUUGGCCUCGAAUCAGGUGGGGAUACCCGCUGAACUUAA
RNAcentral lists this unclassified non-coding RNA (254 nucleotides) under uncultured fungus. Its description in RNAcentral is "sequence contains ITS2". The record is from RNAcentral. Lineage: Eukaryota; Fungi.